RNAcentral lists this transfer RNA (62 nucleotides) under pig gut metagenome. It matches the Rfam family "tRNA", at positions 5 to 66 of the family's 71-position model. From Rfam's summary of the family: Transfer RNA (tRNA) molecules are approximately 80 nucleotides in length. Their secondary structure includes four short double-helical elements and three loops (D, anti-codon, and T loops). The record is from RNAcentral.
CUAUGGUGUAAUGGUAACACUACAGAUUUUGAUUCUGUAAUUAUAGGUUCGAAUCCUAUUAG